This 253-nucleotide ribosomal RNA is filed under the name uncultured bacterium. RNAcentral describes it as "partial 16S ribosomal RNA". It matches the Rfam family "Bacterial small subunit ribosomal RNA", at positions 524 to 776 of the family's 1533-position model. The record is from RNAcentral.
UACGUAGGGUGCUAGCGUUGUCCGGAAUUAUUGGGCGUAAAGAGCUCGUAGGCGGCCUGUCGCGUCGGAUGUGAAAGCCCGGGGCUUAACCCCGGGUCUGCAUUCGAUACGGGCAGGCUAGAGUUCGGUAGGGGAGAUCGGAAUUCCUGGUGUAGCGGUGAAAUGCGCAGAUAUCAGGAGGAACACCGGUGGCGAAGGCGGAUCUCUGGGCCGAUACUGACGCUGAGGAGCGAAAGCGUGGGGAGCGAACAGG